Molecule: ribosomal RNA, 484 nt
Filed under: uncultured bacterium
Lineage: Bacteria
Description: partial 16S ribosomal RNA
Rfam family: Bacterial small subunit ribosomal RNA
Source: RNAcentral
AUUGAACGCUGGCGGCAUGCUUUACACAUGCAAGUCGAACGGCAGCGCGGGCUUCGGCCUGGCGGCGAGUGGCGAACGGGUGAGUAAUGCAUCGGAACGUGCCCAGUAGUGGGGGAUAGCCCGGCGAAAGCCGGAUUAAUACCGCAUACGACCUGAGGGUGAAAGCGGGGGACCGAAAGGCCUCGCGCUAUUGGAGCGGCCGAUGUCGGAUUAGCUAGUUGGUGGGGUAAAGGCUUACCAAGGCGACGAUCCGUAGCUGGUCUGAGAGGACGACCAGCCACACUGGGACUGAGACACGGGCCCGACCCCCACGGGAGGCCGGAGUUGGGAAAUUUGGACAAUGGGGGGAACCCCGAUCCAGCCAUGCCGCGUGCGGGAAGAAGGCCUUCGGGUUGUAAACCGCUUUUGUUCGGGAAGAAAUCCUCUGGGCUAAUACCCCGGGGGGAUGACGGUACCGGAAGAAUAAGCACCGGCUAACUACGUG